This 76-nucleotide small nucleolar RNA is filed under the name Stegastes partitus (bicolor damselfish). RNAcentral's name for it is "Small nucleolar RNA SNORD2 (ENSSPAG00000002428.1)". It matches the Rfam family "Small nucleolar RNA SNORD2". Lineage: Eukaryota; Metazoa; Chordata; Actinopteri; Pomacentridae. The record is from Rfam by way of RNAcentral.
GUGUGAUAUGAUGGCAUACCAUCUUUCGGGACUGACUGUUGAAAUGGAGAGUUCCUUUUUACUCGACUGAUCACGC